RNAcentral lists this ribosomal RNA (466 nucleotides) under uncultured bacterium. Its description in RNAcentral is "bacterial SSU rRNA". It matches the Rfam family "Bacterial small subunit ribosomal RNA", at positions 330 to 793 of the family's 1533-position model. The record is from RNAcentral.
GCCAGACUCCUACGGGAGGCAGCAGUGAGGAAUAUUGGUCAAUGGGCGAGAGCCUGAACCAGCCAAGUCGCGUGAGGGACGACGGCCCUACGGGUUGUAAACCUCUUUUGCCGGGGGACAAACGGCGGCACGCGUGCCGUCCUGAGGGUACCCGGAGAAAAAGCAUCGGCUAACUCCGUGCCAGCAGCCGCGGUAAUACGUAGGUGGCAAGCGUUAUCCGGAUUUACUGGGUGUAAAGGGCGUGUAGGCGGGGACGCAAGUCAGAUGUGAAAACCAUGGGCUCAACCUGUGGCCUGCAUUUGAAACUGUGUUUCUUGAGUACUGGAGAGGCAGACGGAAUUCCUAGUGUAGCGGUGAAAUGCGUAGAUAUUAGGAGGAACACCAGUGGCGAAGGCGGCCUGCUGGACGACAACUGACGGUGAGGCGCGAAAGCGUGGGGAGCAAACAGGAUUAGAUACCCGUGUAC